GCGAGCGUGGUUUAGUGGCAGAACAUUUGCUUCCCAAGCAAGUAGCGCGGGUUCGAUUCCCGCCGCUCGCA
RNAcentral lists this transfer RNA (71 nucleotides) under Candidatus Niyogibacteria bacterium CG10_big_fil_rev_8_21_14_0_10_42_19. Its description in RNAcentral is "tRNA-Gly". It matches the Rfam family "tRNA". Rfam says of the family: Transfer RNA (tRNA) molecules are approximately 80 nucleotides in length. Their secondary structure includes four short double-helical elements and three loops (D, anti-codon, and T loops). Further hydrogen bonds mediate the characteristic L-shaped molecular structure. tRNAs have two regions of fundamental functional importance: the anti-codon, which is responsible for specific mRNA codon recognition, and the 3' end, to which the tRNAs corresponding amino acid is attached (by aminoacyl-tRNA synthetases). tRNAs cope with the degeneracy of the genetic code in two manners: having more than one tRNA (with a specific anti-codon) for a particular amino acid; and 'wobble' base-pairing, i.e. permitting non-standard base-pairing at the 3rd anti-codon position. Lineage: Bacteria; Candidatus Niyogiibacteriota. The record is from RNAcentral.